This 1128-nucleotide unclassified non-coding RNA is filed under the name Leishmania donovani. Its description in RNAcentral is "gene:unknown". The record is from RNAcentral. Lineage: Eukaryota; Euglenozoa; Kinetoplastea; Trypanosomatida; Trypanosomatidae.
AAGAUACAUAUGCAUACGUACGCGUGUGGGCAUACUCGGAUCCACCACUGUAGCACACCCUCGGCGAGGACGGUGACCGCGAUGAAAAGCCCCAAAGUAGCUUGCGAGACGCCUCCCUCGCUGUUGUUGUUGAUUUGGUGCGCGUGUGCGCUUCGUUCUUUCCGUGAAGAGAGAAAGAAAGGCGCUGACGAACAACGAAGGACGGCACCACGCAAGCAACUCACCCGUGUUCGCAGACACACGCACAAAAACGUGUUACGUAGCUCCCCCCCUCCCCACUAGGGGGAUACAAAGUGGUAUGGACACACCAGUGCACACGGUGCAGGAAGCAAAGCAGUGGCUUCCGCUCUUGAGCUGCUCCGAAGAGGGGGUUGCUGACACGCCUGUGAGGGCGCGUGUCGAGUGACCUCUCUCUGCCCCUGCUCCUAGCAACACUUCGCCUCUGCUGUUCAAGAAAGCCCUCAUCGCGCUUCGCCACUCUUAAGUUUUUUCUGUCAAGGUGUCCGGUCUCUGCCAUGCAGCACGAGCUAAACUCCGCUUUAACCAACCCUCUACAAGUCUCUUACGUGCUGCGAAGCAGCGGCAGGCACGUCGCUACGGCUGUGCGCAGACACAGUCAUCUGAGCACAGCCCCUGCCUCAAGCCCCACCCACCACCAGCAGGGCAGUGUGGGGGCCGGGUGUGGGGUACGCUCGACUCACGCCGACACGCUGCCCAUCACAUGGAUGGCGCAAGCGUGUUCACGGCCGCGGGUCGCACCGACGCAGCGCCGUCCAGGGCCUGGCCGCCGGCGUCAGUGGCGAUGCAUCGCUCUGACCUCCCCUACGGCGUCGGCGCUUGACCCUGUCACGACCGGAAGCGGCUCCGCAUUGGGCAGGACUAGAGGGGGUGGGGUGCCGCUUGGCUUCCCCAUACCGAGGGAGUACCGGACCCUGAUGCCAUGCCGGGGUUUCCUUUUCCACCAGAGUUUACCAUUUAAAAAAAAAAACGUUUGCAUGACGCAAAGCCGCGCGGAGAAGCAGGCGCGCUCCACGGGCACGCCGCUACACAGAGAGUGACACCCGUGACGCGAGAGUCUCCAAGACCCCUCGCACCGACGCCACCGUGGACUGCGACGGAAACCCUCAC